RNAcentral lists this ribosomal RNA (666 nucleotides) under uncultured cyanobacterium. Its description in RNAcentral is "bacterial SSU rRNA". It matches the Rfam family "Bacterial small subunit ribosomal RNA", at positions 99 to 795 of the family's 1533-position model. The record is from RNAcentral. Lineage: Bacteria; Bacillati; Cyanobacteriota.
CGGACGGGUGAGUAACGCGUGAGAAUUUGCCUUUAGGAGGGGGACAACAACUGGAAACGGUUGCUAAUACCCCAUAUGCUUUCGAGUGAAAUAGUUUUUCCGCCUAAAGAGAAGCUUGCGGCUGAUUAGCUUGUUGGUAAGGUAAUGGCUUACCAAGGCGACGAUCAGUAUCUGGUUUGAGAGGACGAUCAGACACACUGGAACUGAGACACGGUCCAGACUCCUACGGGAGGCAGCAGUGGGGAAUUUUCCGCAAUGGGCGAAAGCCUGACGGAGCAAUACCGCGUGAGGGAUGAAUGCCUAUGGGUUGUAAACCUCUUUUUUCAGGGAGGAACAAAAUGACGUGUACCUGAAGAAUAAGCAUCGGCUAACUCCGUGCCAGCAGCCGCGGUAAGACGGAGGAUGCAAGUGUUAUCCGGAAUCACUGGGCGUAAAGCGUCUGUAGGUGGUUUAAUAAGUCAACUGUUAAAUCUCGAGGCUCAACCUCGAAAUCGCAGUCGAAACUAUUAGACUAGAGUAUAGUAGGGGUAAAGGGAAUUUCCAGUGGAGCGGUGAAAUGCGUAGAGAUUGGAAAGAACACCGAUGGCGAAGGCACUUUACUGGGCUAUUACUAACACUGAGAGACGAAAGCUAGGGUAGCAAAAGGGAUUAGAUACCCCUGUAGUC